RNAcentral lists this long non-coding RNA (211 nucleotides) under Carica papaya (papaya). RNAcentral describes it as "long non-coding RNA (CPAP_LNC011990)". Lineage: Eukaryota; Viridiplantae; Streptophyta; Magnoliopsida; Brassicales; Caricaceae. The record is from RNAcentral.
UCCUCACCAACUCCGGUGCGCGGUCCAUUUGCAUUCGGCUACAACGAUCUCGUGGGCCCCAUCUUCCAAAUUCUUAUUGGUUGGUGAGUGGACCCCACUUCAUGGGAAGCAUUGAGGAUGAUGCGGUGCGCAGCAUGUCAGACUUACAGCAUCCGGUGGUAGGUGAAGCAAAGGAAGCACGAUGAGUGAUGUUAGCUUAAUUUUUACAUCA